RNAcentral lists this long non-coding RNA (289 nucleotides) under Setaria viridis. RNAcentral's name for it is "long non-coding RNA (SVIR_LNC004087)". The record is from RNAcentral. Lineage: Eukaryota; Viridiplantae; Streptophyta; Magnoliopsida; Poales; Poaceae.
GCUAGUUCCACAAACUCACAUUAAUAACACUUAUAAUUCAGGGAUUCCACAAAAUUGACGUGCAAGGAUGCCGCUAAUUAUAAAGAGCCCUAGAGGUCAAGAAUGGAUCACCCACCCGAUGCCCCUCCCACGGUGGCCGCGCCACCGCUCCCCCCGGAUCGGAUCUGGCCGCCCAGCCCCACCAUCAACCAUCCCCGCAGCCAGCCGCCACCCGGAUCCAGCCCACCAACUCAUUCGCCCAAGCCACCUCCAGCCACAGCACCUGGGAACCCUUCUUCCUUGACUCCCC